This is a long non-coding RNA of Photinus pyralis (common eastern firefly), 477 nucleotides long. RefSeq lists it as uncharacterized. Lineage: Eukaryota; Metazoa; Arthropoda; Insecta; Coleoptera; Lampyridae. The transcript is spliced from 3 exons. The record is from RefSeq and is a predicted model, not a curated record.
UAUAAAAUUUAAAAUUUAUUUUAUCGCUUUGCCUAUUUUAUUAUCUCUAGGUGCAGCGCAGAGUGCAGUUUUAAAACUCACUUGCCGAAUAUUCGUUCAACGCUACACACGCCAACUGCAUCAAGUUCAAUUUCAUUUUGUAUUAAUUAUUGUGAUACUUGUAUACGUCAAUUUCACACAAAUCCUUUCUUUCCGAUCCUUUAAUUUGUGUAAAGAUCAUAGAGACAAAAUAUUUGGGGAUUUAUGGGUUACUACUGAACUUGCCGAACUUUACGAACAAGAUGAGUACGAGAAGGUUUAUGUACGGGAACUGGUACUACAUCUACUAUUUUUGAUUAUAACUACAACAAUGGUGGCGGGUUCCGCAAGUCCAUCAAAUUACUAUCACCAUAUGUAUUUUCAAAACUUUUUUACCGAAUCCCCGUUUAAUAGUAGUACUGGGGUUAACAUGACUUUCCAUGAUAUAUUUUUGAUUGG